This is a non-coding RNA of Pangasius djambal, 72 nucleotides long. The record is from the annotation of a GenBank genome assembly. NCBI's taxonomy places the organism in Eukaryota, Metazoa, Chordata, Actinopteri, Siluriformes, Pangasiidae.
UCCCUGGAGGACUAGUGGUUAGGCCACAGCGCUCUCACUAAUGUGGCCCGGGUUCGUUUCCUGGGCAGGGAA